Raphanus sativus (radish) is the source of this 596-nucleotide long non-coding RNA. RefSeq lists it as uncharacterized. NCBI's taxonomy places the organism in Eukaryota, Viridiplantae, Streptophyta, Magnoliopsida, Brassicales, Brassicaceae. The transcript is spliced from 3 exons. The record is from RefSeq and is a predicted model, not a curated record.
UAUCGACAAACUCAUUAGUUUAAAAGUGAUCGAUUGAAGUGUAAUUGGUUAGUCAAUUGUAUUGUAUAGGAAGCAAUCAAGUUGGCUUCGUUGAUCAUCCUGUAUAGUUUCUGGUUUCAUAUUUUCUUAUUGGAAGAUGCUUUUUGCGUUUCCAGGUAUCAAAUGCUGCGUGCACCACAUCACCAGCCUUUGUAUGUUUGUGGAACACUUGUAGCAGCAACGUUAAAACAAUGGGCAUGCAUAACAAGAGAAGUGAACGAUUAAGUGGCUCAAAUGGAAUCGGGAACAAGACAUUUUACAUUCUGUUAAAUUAAAAUAUUUUAAUGAGUUAUAUUAUAUAAUUUGUUAAUCUUUGAUUAGCAUUUCUUGAUAUUAAAUUUUAGAAAGUCAAUGGUGAUAGUAAAUAUUUUUUAAAAUAUGUGUAAUAAAUAAUAAUAGCAUUGUUAAUGGACCAACUUAUUAAAACCAUUAACUCAUUAAAUUGGUUGGGUUAUGGUUUAACCCAAUCCAUUUAGUUAAUGGGUUGGAUUAACUCAUAAUCCAUAAACAUAAACUGCUCAAUCUAUUUGGGUAUAUCCAUUUGGGUAUGGAUUGAU